GAAGUCGUUUCUGCACGGACCUGGAUGUGUUCACAGCAGCAGAGACACGUUGAAACAGGAAAGGGCCUUCAGCAAACCGCCGACACGGGAGCUGGAAGCAUGCAGUUGGACGGAGCGCUCAUCGCCGCCGCGGCUGCGACACCCACGCCACUGCGAUCAAUCCCAAUUAAAACUUCAGGUCGACUGGAAAUGGAAAGAGUCGGAAGCCAAACGAGUACGGCGGGAUUUGCUUUCCUCAGCGGCCUUUGGAGGAAAAACACCGGCUGUGUCUUUUUUAAAUUAUUUUUUGGAUGUUGUUGUUUUCAUUUAUUUUCUCGCCGCGCGGUAAUUGAAAUUAAUAUUAUGUGUUUGCAUUAGACGGAGCGGGCGUGUGUCUGUGUGUUGUGAUUGAGAGGGUCAAAUAACAUGUGUGCACACACACACACACACACACACACACACACACACACACACAGAGAGGACUCUGACAGUGAUGAAGUGGAGGGAGAGUCGCAGCCGGGGCGAGGAGUGAUGGACGCGGCGGCGGCCGACACAAGAGGAAACCUCCCGGGGGGGGGGACGCGAGAGAGCUGGCGCGUGCGUGACGGCUACCAGAAUGUGUAACGUGAGCAGGGCUGAGAAUAUGAUUUAAAACCGGCAAACCGACAAAAGUCCAGCUUCAAUGUGUUCAUCUUCUUUAGGCGGGUAAACAGCAGCAAACUUUGUUGCCCCCCCGUCACUUGUAUUCUGAGCUGCACUGACCACAGUGAGCCAGUUAAAUGUUUAAGAAAGUAAAUAAAAUAGAUGAUCUCUCACGUUGUACGGGACUUCGAACCUACUCUCCAGCGUCGUAUGCCGAUGUGAAAAGUCCCUUCACAUUUUUACUUCAGGAACAUAAUGUCAAGUGAGGGAGGCCAGACAGAACCGGCAAAGGGAAGGCUUAAUGCAUUAUACUUAAAUGUAAUGUGUGUGUGUGUGCAAAUCCUUCCAGGAAAAGACUCCCUGAAUGUGCUCCAUGUUCUGUGUGUGUGUGUGUGUGUGUUCCUGCAGACGGAUAAUGUCUUUGAGGAGUCCAGUCGUCUUUCCGACUGGCUGCAGCUCGGAGCCGCGGAGCCGCCUGAUGGAGGCGGCACGGCGACCUCCGUGCCUUUAGUAACCCCGUCAUUUCUGUCAUUUGUCCGUCAUCGAUGUGACCCCCAGGAGGAGGCUCCUGCUCUGUUGAAUCGGAUGUACAGACAUUGUGAUGUGUACCAAUCUCCUCUGAUUUCUUUCCCUCAGUUUGUGAUUUUUGACCAAAAGAAGGUUUUGGGACGGACACCGAUGUCCUACCUGUGACCAGGACAGAAUCUCUCUGUCUCUGACAUCCGUUAUGCACAAAGAGCACAAGACAGACUUGGAUCCAGUGCAGCUUCACCUGUUCUGGGGGGGAAGCAGGAAAUCACCAACCUAAAGGCAGUUUGUUGAGGAAGCCGCUGGAGUUGCAGAGACAAGACCCAGCAGCUUUAGAGGCGGUUCCAAGUUGGACCAUCGUCUCCGUCCUCCCCGUCCGCCUGCAGGGCCCUCGGCCCUCUGGAGCGCCGUCUCUCCGAAGCUGAAGAGGUGCGGCAGUCUUCCUCUCCCACCUGUUUCUCUCUGCCUCUCUUAUGUAAUUAAGGCUGCUUAUGUGGUUACAAUGAAACGACUCCCCGAGCUCCCAAAACAGCGAGGAGGUGUUAAUGGAGGAAACGCACACGAGCUGCCCGCCGAGGAGCUGCAGAGAACUGUUGUCCGGGCCAGAACACUUUGU
Molecule: long non-coding RNA, 1765 nt
Organism: Gasterosteus aculeatus aculeatus (three-spined stickleback)
Lineage: Eukaryota; Metazoa; Chordata; Actinopteri; Perciformes; Gasterosteidae
Source: Ensembl